Pelobates cultripes (western spadefoot toad) is the source of this 216-nucleotide non-coding RNA. The record is from the annotation of a GenBank genome assembly. Lineage: Eukaryota; Metazoa; Chordata; Amphibia; Anura; Pelobatidae.
AAAACAAUUACUGUUCAUUGUAUGACUUUUCACUUUUAUUGUGUCCAAAUCAUGUACAUCUCUAGACAGAAUCUAUGCGUUCUCUUCUCAAAUGCAAAACUUAUCUGCAGUCACAGCUGGGCUGUUUUCUCCAAACAUCACAAUUCAUUAGACUUUAUGUGAAUACAUGGUAAUGUGGUAAUUUGCUACUUUUGUGAUAUAUAUACUAGUUUGUUG